Molecule: ribosomal RNA, 253 nt
Filed under: uncultured bacterium
Lineage: Bacteria
Description: partial 16S ribosomal RNA
Rfam family: Bacterial small subunit ribosomal RNA
Source: RNAcentral
UACGUAGGGUGCAAGCGUUAAUCGGAGUUACUGGGCGUAAAGGGUGUGUAGGCGGUUCUCUAAGUCUGGGGUGAAAUCUCCCGGCUCAACUGGGAGGGUGCGCCGGAAACUGGAGAGCUAGAGUACUGGAUGGGAGAGUGGAAUUCCAGGUGUAGCGGUGAAAUGCGUAGAUAUCUGGAGGAACACCGGUGGCGAAGGCGGCAUCCUGGACCAACACUGACACUGAUGAGCGAAAGCCAGGGGAGCAAACGGG